RNAcentral lists this long non-coding RNA (756 nucleotides) under Gossypium barbadense (sea-island cotton). RNAcentral describes it as "long non-coding RNA (GBAR_LNC017612)". Lineage: Eukaryota; Viridiplantae; Streptophyta; Magnoliopsida; Malvales; Malvaceae. The record is from RNAcentral.
UGGCAAAAGAUGGACCACCAUCAAUGCAUCCAAAUGCGCUACAAUGAAGAUGCAGCAAUUCUGAAGCGAUUUGUGGAGAAAAAUCGUAUUUAUGAUUUUCUUGCAGGAUUAAAUGUUGAAUUUGAUGCUAUAAGAGUGCAGAUUUUGGAAAAUUUGGACUUACCAUCUUUGAAUGAGACAAUCUCUAUUAUACGUGCUGAAAAGGGACGUCAAAAUGUUAUAAUUGAACCUCAAGGGGGAAAUGGUUCUACACUUGUUACCAAAGCCACAGAAUUGAAAGAGACGGACACUCCUUCAUUAGUUACUCGAGGGGACUCAACCAAACCAUUCAAUCAAAAUUUUCUAUUCUGCACAUAUUGCGAGAAGCAUCGUCACACCAAGGAGAGAUGCUGUAAACUUCAUGGCAAGCCCAAUGAAAAACCUAAUCGAAGUGUGAAUGAUUGAAGUCGGGGCACAUAUGGUGAGUACUUCGUCAACUAGCAAAGAAGAUUCUAAAAAAUCUGCUUCUGAAUUUAACAUCGAAGAAAUUGAAAAAUUAAAAACCUUUUUGGGAUCGUUUGAGAAGGCAACCUCGACAGGUACUUGUUCAUUGAUGUUUUCAGGUAUUUCUUCUUCCUCUUGUACUAAUGUCUCAAAAAGAAAGUCUCCUCCCAUGUGGGUGAUUGAUUCCAAAGCCACUGACUAUAUGACUUGUUCCUCCAAACAUUUUAUCUCUUAUACUCCAAAUUGUAGCCAUAAAAAUAUCACAAUAGUCGA